CCCGGCAAGGGCAACCGGCAGACGAGGUCAGUAACACGUACGAACGUACCCCAGAGUCUGGAAUAGCUCAUCGAAAGGUGAGGUAAUACCAGAUGGUCCUCAAGAGGUAAAGAUUUAUCGCUCUGGGAGCGGCGUGCGCAGUAUCAGCUUGUUGGUAAGGUAACGGCUUACCAAGGCUACGACGCUUAGGGGAGGUGAGAGCCUGACCCCCACCGAGGGAACUGAGACACGGUCCCU
RNAcentral lists this ribosomal RNA (237 nucleotides) under uncultured bacterium. Its description in RNAcentral is "partial 16S ribosomal RNA". It matches the Rfam family "Bacterial small subunit ribosomal RNA", at positions 81 to 334 of the family's 1533-position model. The record is from RNAcentral.